Acinonyx jubatus (cheetah) is the source of this 2221-nucleotide long non-coding RNA. RefSeq lists it as uncharacterized. The transcript is spliced from 2 exons. Lineage: Eukaryota; Metazoa; Chordata; Mammalia; Carnivora; Felidae. The record is from RefSeq and is a predicted model, not a curated record.
GAGACAUUUUUAUCACUAGGGGGCGGCACUUCACCCCUCCCUGUGAGCGGGGAAGUUGAGGCCAAGAGAAAUCUGUGCAAAUCCUGUUAAACUAACUCUUCUCUUUGUGGUCACUAACCGCCCUGGCCCAAAUACCUUCGUCUUAUCACUUUUCCACAAUUUACCACUCUGCCCCACUUAAUUAUGUGUUGACUCAAACUGCUUCUUUAGGUUUUCAUUUCCUUAUGAAGGCUCCCAUGUCUUACAUAGAUGUGUAUGCUUUCCCCCUUUUAAUGCCUUUUGUUACAGGGACCCCAGUCAAGAACCUAUUAAGGGUAGAAUGAAAGGGUUUUUUUCUCCUCUACAUCACAAAGUUGCAUAGUAUUAUCUCCAGUCAGGGCUCCUUUUUCAUUCUUAAUAGUGUUUGAAGAGGAGGUUCCUAUGCGAAGUAACCGUUUAAAAGCUUGAACCUAAAUAAUAUACCAAAUAGUUAUAAACUUACAAAUAUCAUGUGUUUUGAAACUAAAAAAACGUAUUCGAUUCAUAGGUCAAAGAAAAAAAUCACAAAAUAUUUUGAAAAGUGUAAGUGCUAUUCAUUAUUAUAACCGGUGGGUUAUAAAUUUAGCCUAAGUGCAUUUAUUUGCACACGCACGAAAAAAAAACGUUCAACGAAGAACUUGGAAAAGAAACAUCGUAGGAAACUAAAACAAACAAAAACCAAAGAUGGGGGGAAAAAAACAAAAGCACGACGUCGCGGCGCUUUACGGUCGUCACGCUCACGUGUCUGAGGUCGUGGCGGCCAUGAAGCAGGAGAGGCCGAGAGCCAGAGCCUUGGUGCUGGAACUGGAUCCCGAGCCCAAGAACGAGAAGGAGGAGGGAGAGCGGCUGCAGCAAGCGGGUGGUGCCUGUUGUGACAUACCGGAGCCACAACCCGCCGCUCCUCCUGCCUCUGCGCCUGCGCAGCGGACUUGGCGCCACUGGCGAGGCCCGGCGGCUUUUCUGUUAGCCCGUGGGUGGUGCGCGCGGCGCCGAGGAGGACGUUCGCGGAGAAGCGGCCGGAGGAGAAUAAGGACCACGCCCAGGGGAGGGGCCACGGGCACCCGAAAGCGCUAGCCUCUUAUGGCGGCCGCCGAGGGAACUGCAGGCACCUGCUCGGCGUCGCCUGGGACCUCCCCAGGCCGCUGGCGACUCCAGCCUCCGCCCCCAGCGUCCUGAGGCCGCGCUUGGGCGGCGCGGACUGAGGCUCGGAGCACCCAGCUCCGGCUUGGGCUACCGGCCGCUGCCCUUCGUAGAGCUGCGGGAAAUUUUUAGUUUUUUGAUUGAUCUGUCCGUUUCCGAGAUGCACCCAAGUAUCCUUCUGGACCACAACCGGGAUUGGAGGGAAGCGGUAGCCUCGGACAAAAUUUAAAUGGACGCCCAAAAAACUCCGUAAUUGAGAUAAAUAAUAUUUUCAGGCAAUAUUUUUGAAAACAAAAGUUUAUACCAAAAAAAUGAUGAAUAAAACACAGUUGACCCUUGGAAAACAUAGGCUUGAACCGUGUGGGUCCACCUAUACAGAGAUUUCUUUUUGAUACAGUGCUUUAAAUAUACUUUCCUUAGGGUAUUCUUAACAUUUUCUUUAGCUUACUUUAAGAGUACAGUAUAUAAUACAUGUCACAUACAAAAUAUGUAUCAGCUGUUUAUGGUACUGGUAAGGCUUCUGGUCAAGGGUAGGCUAUUAGUCAAGUUUGGGGAGAGUCAAAAGUUAUGUGGGGAUUUUCCUCUAGGGGAGGGUGAAGUAGGGCUCCUUACUCCUAGGGUGUUCAAUGGUCAGCCUUCCUACAAUUAAAAAAAAACAAACAAAAUUUGACCCUGCACUUGCAUGACAGGUCUAAAUGUACCUUCUUGGUGAACUGAUACUUUUUAUCCUUCUGUAAAGUCCCUUUAGUCCUACUGCAAGUUUUUGCCUAAAUUCUACUUUUCUACUAUUAAUAUUGUGACACUAACCUUCUGGCUAAAUUUACUUAUUCGCCUUAUUUUUUUGUUUUCUUUUUAUCAUCCUCCCCCCCCCCUUCCUUCCUUGGAUUGAUAAGUUUUCUUUAUUUAUUUUGUUUUUUUACUGAAAAUUUAGCUUGGGUUAGGUCAAGGAAAAACUCCCUUGGGAAAAUACCGACACUAUCUCAAACGUUUUUGAGUUUGAAUGGUUUGAAUAAACUCAUCAUUUUACUAAUGAAAGUGAUAGGUCAAUAAAAUUCCAUAAGCA